AUUAAUUUGUCAUACGAAUUUUAUUUUUCAAACAUCAUUUUUAGAUCUUUACUUACAAAGUAGAUGAGCAUACUUUUUUUUUUUUUUGUCAACCGAUAUAAAUUAGAACUCAAAAGAGUCAAUCUCGAGGGAUAUUGUUUACAUACGUGACAUGAUGCGGUACGGUACGAAUCUUUCGUGCCAACUUAUCCGCUUUUACAUUUGCACUACGAGAAAUUAAAGAUAAAGAGAAAUUUGUGAAUUCUUCCCUAUCACUUUGCAACUCCUCCAAAUACACUGAAAACGCCGGCCAUUCGGUUGGAGAAGACACCAUCUUCACCAAGUCUGAACAGUUUGUAAAGAAAGCUAAGUAGAUGAGCAUACUUUGGGUUCGGAAAUUGCAAAUCUUUGAU
RNAcentral lists this small RNA (392 nucleotides) under Arabidopsis thaliana (thale cress). Its description in RNAcentral is "ATSL158350". The record is from RNAcentral. Lineage: Eukaryota; Viridiplantae; Streptophyta; Magnoliopsida; Brassicales; Brassicaceae.